Calidris pugnax (ruff) is the source of this 6795-nucleotide long non-coding RNA. RefSeq lists it as uncharacterized. The transcript is spliced from 3 exons. NCBI's taxonomy places the organism in Eukaryota, Metazoa, Chordata, Aves, Charadriiformes, Scolopacidae. The record is from RefSeq and is a predicted model, not a curated record.
AUCACUGCAGAAUUCCUCCUCUGAUUUUUCUCCCUGAAAUUAGCCCGUAGUGCUAUGCUUCAGACUUCACAGGAGCCUAAAGAGAGUAACGUCCUGCGAGCAGAAGAUGCACUUGAGGAUACUUCAGUCCUGGCAGCCAAAGGCUUCACCAAUAUUGCUUCACUGAGGACAGAAAAUUCAGCAGUAGCUGACUUACAGGGCUCCCAAAAGACCGUUUUAUUCCAAAUCUAAAGGUGUGAGAACUUUCGCUUUUAAACGACGGUGCCAGGUAGUCGGAGUGAAAGAUGUUAUAAACGCAGCAUUUACUUAUCUGGAUUCCUUGGAUUUCUCUGUCACCAUUUAUAAUGGGAUAAUCUGGUGCUCAAAAAAAUGUAAAAAAGUCUUUGCAGAAAGCAGUAGAAAGACAUUUCAUGUUCCUUUUUACUGAUUACUUUUGCUUGAUGCUAGGAAACAAUUAUUUUAAGUGGAUUACUUCCAAAGAAUAACUUAAUUUGAUAAUAAAACAAAUACUACUUUCCCAUUUAUUGAUGAAUCAAGCAAGGUAAUUGGAUUUAUUACUUCUGAAUCUAUGAGUAAUCCUGUUUCCAAAUCACAUAUGUGUUUCCUCCUCUGCUUUUAUGUUCAUCAGGAGAUGACACUUAUUUAUUCCUUUUUCUUGUUGGCAGAAAUUCACUUUUUUGAAUCAGGACAGCAAUGGUCUUAUGCACUGCUUCUGAGCUCAAAAUAGAGCUAAUUUAUACUUAUGCAGCAUACAUCCUUGCUGGAGAAAAAUGAGCUUCAGUCAUCCUGAGUAGCUAAAAAUACAAGUUAAUUAAAAACAUAUCUCGCAUUAAUAUCUAUAAUAUGCAUGGUAACAGUGAAGUAGAUAUAACGAUGUUAUGAUGUUGCUUCACAGCAGCGGCCUGGAAGCUGAGAGGUCUCUGGAAUGUAUAUCCCAGCCUGGUAUGUAGGAGAUGCCUUUGAUGGGCAUAUACAGCUCGUCUGGGGAGUGGCUGUGCCAAGGAUUAUUGACGCUUCUCCUCCCUCUGCUUUUUAGCUUGACACCGCAAAUCCACCGUGCUGAAUAUUUAGAAGAUUAUAGACAAUUUAAGACGUAAUAAAAUCACAGAAUAUUUUUCAGCUAACUGAAUUAGUAAAAUAUUCAGUUUUAGCAGUAAUUAAUCUUGUAACAGUUUAUACUCCUAGAGAAUCUUUCACCUGGAGAUUUCACAUCAGUUUACAAACCUCAGGUAAACUUCUUAGAUUCGGUACUUCAUACUUCAUUUGUUUUACAGGGCUGGUCUGCUCCUACAAAGGUCUGCCAGUAUAGCCGUACCCAUUCAUACCACCAAAUUUCUGAAGUAGAAAUGUGGUUUACAUUGGAAAAACAGUUCCUCUUUUGGUACAGAGUAAAAUCUGUUCCUUGAGGAAUACGCCUGCAUAUUCUGGUUUAAAGUGUGAUUUCUUUUCAUACCUCUGUUCAGCUCAGUAAUGUUAGCAAAACUUUUAAGAGUAGAUCAAAUCAUGAACUGAAAGUGCUAAAGAAGCUCAUUCAAACUCUGAUUAUUUUCUUAUGUAAAAGGCAAAUGACCCUUAUGUUCAAAAUACAUUAUUUUGUUGAUGGGAUUCAUUGAUCAGCAUACGACCUUGGUCCCAAAGACGCGAGUCUGUUACAUUCCCCAGCUUCACCACCUUCAGUCUCUGCAUCAGUGUUGUCCUCUCGCCUGAUAAAGCAUUGCUCAAAAAUGGACAUCCAGAGCUGGAAGAACACAUCUGCAGAGCUUGAACUGAACAGCCAGCUUCUGUUGUCUGGAACUGUAGCAAAAUUGCAUCAGCUGAAAAUCGCAGAGUUCUUCUAGCUAUCAUGGUUUUACUGUGGGUCUGAAAAUAUUUUGACAUUUUUCCUGGUCUGCCAGUGUCAGACAUCUUCUUUAAUGGUGGUCAGCAGCGAAUGAUAGUGAUUCACUUGGGAGUUUCCAGGGUUUCCAGGCUACCAAGCCCCAUUGUGGUUUACGGUUGAAAAAUUUCAAUCCAACUUUUCCAUUUGUAGAUGCCAUUUGGAGCCACUGUUGCACUUUCAUACUUUUUUUUUUUUUUCAGACAGGAACAGAAUGUGGUGUUUGAACUGAAAUUACAGUCUGGGGUAGAAUAGAAGGGGGAAGAAGGAGAGACAUGUUUGUUAGGAAAAGCAUGCUAUGGGCUUUGCUGUACUGUGGGAAAACUUGCUCCUGCUGAGUCUACCCCGAGUCCCAAAUCCCCCGACUCCCACUGCCCUGAUUCCCACCGUGGUUUCCUCUGUUCCGCCUUCUACAUAAAGACAAAAAAAGCCAGAUCUUUUGAACUAAUCUAAUAUAUCCAUUCCUCCUCAGUCUCUUCCUUCUCUCCCCAUUGCUCCCAGAAAGGGAGGGACUUUUUCUAACCAUUACAGGGCAUCCUAGGGCUUUCUCACAUCACUUCCAACACAUUCCUCGCCUCCGUUCACCCAGGAAGAAUCUGCUGCAUUUGAUUUCUGUCUCAGGUCACUCAUCUCACAGCUAUGUGCCAGGAAAUACACUGCUCUUCUGGUAGACUAAACAAAAGGAAACCCACCUGGGACCGAGAGGAGACACUAGCCUCUCUUUUAACAACUUCACUUCUAAACCAUCCUUCCAUCCCCUGCCUUCAUCUCCCUCCCUGUAGCAGAGACUCCGCACUAAAGCAAAGUGAACACAAAGAAAGGACACCUGUUCCCAGCCCUGCUAAAGAGAGAAAAGCUGCUUCUGCCUAAAGGCUAGAGCUGAGCUGAACGCUUUACGGCUGCAGGAGUUGGUUAGGCUGCUGAUAGACCCACGCGAGGGAAAUAGGAGCCUCUUACACAACACCAGCAAAUAACAACUGAAAAGUAACUUACAUCACAGGAGAAUGGCAGGGGGAAACCAAGGUACAAUAAUCACCACUCGUUUGCGCCUAUAUAAAUAUGGAUAUGUCAUCUGGUUGGGAUGUACGCAAGUGUUCCUUCAAUACAAAAUAUUAAAAAAAAAAAAAAGUGAAAAAACCUGGUAAUUUGCUGUCAACACUUACAGCAGGCGACCACACUCUUCCCUCACUCGUUACAGAGCUCGCACAAAUUCUUCUUUUUCUGCAGACGUCACGGUCAUCACCAGCAUGAGCAGAAGGAUGCUUCUCGUAGCAUGCCCUGGAGAUCAACAGACCCGGGCUAUUUCAGACCAGUGAGUCCUUUCCAGAGCUGAGAGCUCCUCACAGAGACUGCCCUGCAAGCGUCACCUUCUUUUUCAGCUUGAGUGGCUUUUCUUCUUGCAGCCGUGGCAGUAUGGCAGAAAGGAGACAGGAUAGCUCUCUCGCGUGUCCAGCGCUUCCUUUCUCACUGCUAGUGAUUCAAAGGAUUAAAACAGCAGGAUAUAAAGCAACAGAUGGGGGUUUCAUUCGUUCCCUGGGCUUUGAAAACAGACUCGACAAAAUAUAUCUAUUGUUAUUACUGUGACCUCCAGUAUGGUGAAUGCAGAUUUCAGUUUCAGAUGGGAGGGAGAUGUCUCUGGGUCCAAGGCAGUGGGCACCAUGGAGGAGAGAAACACUCCAGUGAAAUUUUAUCCACAUUAUUCAAGAAAAAAACAGUUUUUAGCAAAGAUCAGUGCAUUCAAGAUGUACAAGAUACCCCCGUUUUUCUCCAUCUCUUCCCCUUCUCCUGGGAAGCCAGCACAGAGGAGCAGAAGCCAGAGGGUUGGCAGUAGGAGCGGUGAACCCCAAGUCCUGCGGUGAGGUACUGGCCUCUCAGGCCUGUCCCUGGUACUGGGAAUAACCCAACAAGCAAAAUAAAAAAAGAAGCAAGAAGUUGCCUGUGAGAGAAGGAAGGCCAUGGCGAUCAGUGGCCUGACUCCCAUGUUGUCUGAAGCUGUGGAAGGAAAACCAGCCAGUUCUGAGGCUGCUCGUAUGAUUUUUGGGACACAGUUUUAUGACAGAAGAAGGAACUGUAGCUUUUCCAUACCUGAUCAGUGGGCCAGCCUUGUGUGGAUGAUGUGCAGAGAGGGAGGAGAGGAUUUCCCUAAGUUCCCUGUUUCCCCAGGUUGCUCAUUGGAGGGCUCCAAGUGUGGAACCAGAGCUUCAGUUUCAGAGCAAGGGAUGAAGGAAAGAGCCUCCAGAAAUGGCCUCAUUCUUCUUUUAACAGAUACCAAAGGGAAAUAUUAGUCCCAAUAAGAGGAUUUUGCUUCUGGGGUUCAUAACCCGGGAGUUUUGUGGAUCUUCCAGAGCCCAGAUGUGAUAGAUGACAUUAACUUCUCCAGAGUCAUCACUUUUAAUCUCCACAUGAGAAGAAUUGGGUCAUUUUUGCAUGGCCAGAGACAGCAGUUCCCCUUGCACUGUAGCUUUACGUACUGGAGAUAACACUUUCUAUAAAUCAAGACAGGCUGUAAAAAGUGACAAAAACUGUGAAGUUUGGCUUGCCAGGAAACUGUUAUCGUGUAUGUGUAUUUUUUUUUAGAAAAAAACCCAUUUAAUAUCCACAUCCCGUUUUGUCAAUCUUUCAAAAGCCCUGACAGGGAUGUGAACGUUGCUCAAGAGCUAUUACAUGUCGUGAUUAUAAUUUGUUCUUUUUGAAGAGGGUGAUGUCUAAGUCGUUUUUGAUGAUUACAUUUCCUUGGUCUAUAUUUAUUUGAAAGGCACUUUUCAAACCUGAGAAUUGUUUCCAAACAGUAUGCAUAAAUGAUUAGUACUGCUUUCAGUCGUGCAGUUUGAUCCCUACUCCCUUUAGAUGUUAGUGUAGAUGUGAAGACAACACCCUGUCUGGUGCAGAAAGAAUAGACCUUAACCGCUGCAGCAGCUGAAAGAUUUGGAAUGUUUUGAAGAGAAAAUGAGCCACUUCCUACAGAGUCAGUCAGAGCUCUAGGUUAUAAAAUCCACCAUUACUUUGCAUGUGCUAAGGACGUGGUGUUUACUAGCAGAAUGCUGUGUAAGCGACUAAUAAAUACCAUGGCUUCAAACACACGGAUUUCCUGUUUCGAGCCUCAUUCUGUCGCUUACAAGCAACUUAGUCUUACUUUUCGGCUGCUAUGCCACAAACCCUAAAUUAUCUUCAAAUUUUUCAAAUUCAAAAGAAACUCCGUCUAGCUAAUUGUUUAAUGCCUCUCUAAAGAAUCAGGGCGUUUUACAUGAGACUCACCAGAAUGAAUACUUAUCCCAGACAUCUGCCUUUGAAAAGAAGGUUCCUCAUUGCGCCAGUAAGGAAAAUAUUUUGUGAGUGCUGCAAUUUCUUUUCCAGCUAAGUGACAAGGAACAUUUGAGUUUGGAUAAAAUAGGUGUAUAUAUUUUCUUUCUUGUCAUUUUUUUGUUUCAAUGCUUAAUUAUUAGUGCCCUUCACCGUUCGAGAACUAGGAAGGAACAACUUUUCUUGAGAAAAGAAUAGGUAACCACCUAGUGAAAUGUCAAAACUAAAGAAUCAUUGUGUUUUGAUGGCACACGUUAUGUACUGAAGUCUCUAUAGCUCUCCAUAGAUUCUGAUACAUUUUAGACUUGUAUUUAUUUUGAAAAAAAAAAAGGAACGGUUGUUGUGAAAGUUAGCACAUGUUCCAGAAGAGGUAUAUGUGUAGAGAGACUGAUUUUUAAGGGUGUGACCAUAAGAUGCACAUGAAAUGAGCACACACUAAUUUUAUCUUUGUCAGGACUAGCAGCAGUGUGGUCUGGGAGCUUUUAUAUUCUUUGCUGGUUUUUCGACUAGAGUCUUCCCCUCUGCAGAUCCUGUUCUUUCCCUUCCCGCAUCUGAUCCAACACCCGUUUCCAAACUCAAUGUGCUUUCUGUCCUUUGGUUCUUGAACGGCCUCUAUUUUCUUUUUACCUCUUCUUUUCUUUAAGGCUGCAACAUAUAUUAGAACUCACAAAACAGGCUUAAUGCAAACCAGCCCCCAAGCUGUCUCUGUGUAACGCGGGCAUGUGUGACCCAAAACAACGGGACAGAGUUUCUUCAGUUACUGCUGGGACAUUCACGUAAGAAGCAAACAUCGUUUAAACAGAUGUUCUUCUGAAAUGCAGAGAAGGAGCUUGAUUAUGUGUGUCUCCCCCCUCUUUGUGAGGCGACAAUGUGUUGUGAAGUUCACCUGAUGCCUCAGUCCUUUUGCGUGCCAACUUGUGGCUACAAAGCUGGAGGGAGGAAGCACAUCUUGCAAUUUGACCACAGGGAAGAAAAUAACAAAUGUCUCAAACCAGAGGAGCACAGAAGGGCAACGCAGCACCGUUAUGCACAGAGAUGGGGGGUGGCACAGCUGGAAUCCUGGAUGCGGUAUCAGAUGGCACUGAAGUGUUUAUUUGGGGUUGCUGUGAGGUGGGAGAGAAGUAUUGACACAACUCCUUUAGUCCCCUGGUAAAUCCAUUCCUAGGCUUUCAGCCUUCUCUUUCCUUUAAAGAAACUGAAAAUGUCCUCCAGAGGUCCACUGUUCAUCUAUUUGAAAUUAUUUGUAAAGCCUUUGCAGAAUUUGGGCUUGCAGCAGAAAUGGACUGAAAGUAGCAAUGAGCCAGAGCUGUGAGACAGACCAGAGAGAGUCUGUAUAACGUGUACCCCCUUAAAAAUAGUUACUGUGUUCUUCUAAAAGCAGUAACAGAAUAUGAAUUGUAAUCUUGCUGUUCUUAGAUUGUCAGUUUGGCUCUAGCUAAGCUACCAUUUAAGGCCAGUUUGUACAAGGGGUAGGAGUGUUAAAAAAAUAAUUGGCGGUAGCUAUUUUCAUCUAUCACUUUCCAGUGAAUGAUUUUCUAUUUAAUUUCUGCUACUGUUUGUCAGCAAUUUUCUUGUGGAUCUUUUUCUUUUCCUUUCUUUUCUUUUCUUUUUUUUUUUUU